GCAUCAAUGGGGUAGUGGUAACCUGGGUUGUUGCCAUACAUUUUCUCUCACAAUGUGUCGACCCGCCGGGGGUUCAAUUCCCCCUUGAUGCA
Molecule: non-coding RNA, 92 nt
Organism: Armillaria novae-zelandiae
Lineage: Eukaryota; Fungi; Basidiomycota; Agaricomycetes; Agaricales; Physalacriaceae
Source: the annotation of a GenBank genome assembly